AACGAACGCUGGCGGCAUGCCUAACACAUGCAAGUCGAACGAGACCUUCGGGUCUAGUGGCGCACGGGUGCGUAACGCGUGGGAACCUGCCUUUAGGUUCGGAAUAACUCAGAGAAAUUUGAGCUAAUACCGGAUGAUGUCUUCGGACCAAAGAUUUAUCGCCUUUAGAUGGGCCCGCGUUGGAUUAGCUAGUUGGUGGGGUAAAGGCCUACCAAGGCGACGAUCCAUAGCUGGUCUGAGAGGAUGAUCAGCCACACUGGGACUGAGACACGGCCCAGACUCCUACGGGAGGCAGCAGUGGGGAAUAUUGGACAAUGGGCGAAAGCCUGAUCCACCAAUGCCGCGUGAGUGAUGAAGGCCUUAGGGUUGUAAAGCUCUUUUACCCGAGAUGAUAAUGACAGUAUCGGGAGAAUAAGCUCCGGCUAACUCCGUG
RNAcentral lists this ribosomal RNA (433 nucleotides) under uncultured bacterium. Its description in RNAcentral is "partial 16S ribosomal RNA". It matches the Rfam family "Bacterial small subunit ribosomal RNA", at positions 29 to 507 of the family's 1533-position model. The record is from RNAcentral.